This 684-nucleotide long non-coding RNA is filed under the name Homo sapiens (human). RNAcentral's name for it is "HSALNT0137873". The record is from RNAcentral. Lineage: Eukaryota; Metazoa; Chordata; Mammalia; Primates; Hominidae.
UCUGGAUGUUCUUGAUAUAUGAGAAGCCUACAUGGCAUCAGCUGGGAAAACUGCAGUCAACAUUGGAAUAAUCAAAAGUGACCACAUGCAAUAAUAGUCUGUGUGACAGUGAAGGGGGGACACCAGGAAGCAGGUGUUCUAUAUGACAGAGGAUCAAUACUCCUGUUGAGGAGAUAAGAUAGAUUCCAAAUGGAAAAUAAACUCAUGGAGAAUACGAACAGGAAGACAAGAGAAGGGGAGGGAAAGUGAGACAAGCCUGCAGGAAACAACACAACAAAGGGAGUGUGGGGGAGUGUGCAAGGCCCACAGCUGACUGGCUGAUGAAAACUGACUGCAUGAGAGUGUGGGAUAGGACAGUCAAUACGAAUUUGCUUCCAUGACAAGGAAAGGGGACAAUGCACACAUUUAGAAGCUUGAGCUAUACAAAUUAGCUAGGAUCUUCUACAUUCUAAUUUAACAGGCUUGCAGAAAAAUUUCAUCAUUUGUAACGUGUUGACGGCCUCAAAAACUUGAUUUUGUUUAGCAAGGCCUAGUUUUUAGUAAGAAAACAAGGACAACCCAUAUUUCAUUUCUUUUGAAAAUAUAUUUCAAUGAAAAGGGAGAUGGAUAGAGGUAAACCUAAUUUGCAUUAUUUAGUUCAAAAGAAAGGUUGCUUUGAUGCCACUGUGUAUAUUUGCAGCGCUU